GAUGAACGCUGGCGGCGUGCCUAAUACAUGCAAGUCGAGCGAACAGACGAGGAGCUUGCUCCUCUGACGUUAGCGGCGGACGGGUGAGUAACACGUGGAUAACCUACCUAUAAGACUGGGAUAACUUCGGGAAACCGGAGCUAAUACCGGAUAAUAUAUUGAACCGCAUGGUUCAAUAGUGAAAGACGGUUUUGCUGUCACUUAUAGAUGGAUCCGCGCCGCAUUAGCUAGUUGGUAAGGUAACGGCUUACCAAGGCAACGAUGCGUAGCCGACCUGAGAGGGUGAUCGGCCACACUGGAACUGAGACACGGCCCAGACUCCUACGGGAGGCAGCAGUAGGGAAUCUUCCGCAAUGGGCGAAAGCUUGACGGAGCAACGCCGCGUGAGUGAUGAAGGUCUUCGGAUCGUAAAACUCUGUUAUUAGGGAAGAACAAAUGUGUAAGUAACUAUGCACGUCCUGACGGUACCUAAUCAGAAAGCCACGGCUAACUACGUG
This 497-nucleotide ribosomal RNA is filed under the name uncultured bacterium. Its description in RNAcentral is "partial 16S ribosomal RNA". It matches the Rfam family "Bacterial small subunit ribosomal RNA", at positions 28 to 507 of the family's 1533-position model. The record is from RNAcentral.